This 155-nucleotide ribosomal RNA is filed under the name Symbiodinium sp. clade A. RNAcentral describes it as "partial 23S ribosomal RNA". Lineage: Eukaryota; Dinophyceae; Suessiales; Symbiodiniaceae. The record is from RNAcentral.
GUGAGCUAAGACCACACUAAAGGACAAAAAGACCCUCUGAAGCUUUAUAGGGAUAAAAUCUAGUACACAUCCAGGCGUUUGUAUACAAGGUGAUGGCCCCAAGAAGCGAGACGAUGACGAUAAAGAGCCAGAAGAUGCAGCGUGGUAAACACAAG